UGAGGAAUAUUGGACAAUGGGUGAGAGCCCGAUCCAGCAAUGCCGCGUGCAGGAUGAAGGCCUUCGGGUUGUAAACUGCUUUUGUACGGAACGAAACGGCUCUGGUUAAUACCUGGGGCUAAUGACGGUACCGUAAGAAUAAGCACCGGCUAACUACGUGCCAGCAGCCGCGGUAAUACGUAGGGUGCGAGCGUUAAUCGGAAUUACUGGGCGUAAAGCGUGCGCAGGCGGUGAUGUAAGACAGAUGUGAAAUCCCCGGGCUCAACCUGGGACCUGCAUUUGUGACUGCAUCGCUGGAGUGCGGCAGAGGGGGAUGGAAUUCAGCGUGUAGCAGUGAAAUGCGUAGAUAUGCGAAGGAAAACCGAUGGCGAAGGCAAUCCCCUGGGCCUGCACUGACGCUCAUGCACGAAAGCGUGGGGAGCAAACA
This 427-nucleotide ribosomal RNA is filed under the name uncultured bacterium. RNAcentral describes it as "bacterial SSU rRNA". It matches the Rfam family "Bacterial small subunit ribosomal RNA", at positions 355 to 774 of the family's 1533-position model. The record is from RNAcentral.